RNAcentral lists this ribosomal RNA (723 nucleotides) under uncultured bacterium. RNAcentral describes it as "bacterial SSU rRNA". It matches the Rfam family "Bacterial small subunit ribosomal RNA", at positions 8 to 726 of the family's 1533-position model. The record is from RNAcentral.
AGAGUUUGAUCCUGGCUCAGAGUGAACGCUGGCGGCAGGCCUAACACAUGCAAGUCGAGCGGCAGCGGGUCCUUCGGGAUGCCGGCGAGCGGCGGACGGGUGAGGAAUGCAUCGGAAUCUGCCUCUUUGUGGGGGAUAACGUAGGGAAACUUACGCUAAUACCGCAUACGUCCUACGGGAGAAAGUGGGGGACCGCAAGGCCUCACGCAGAGAGAUGAGCCGAUGCCGGAUUAGCUAGUUGGCGGGGUAAAGGCCCACCAAGGCGACGAUCCGUAGCUGGUCUGAGAGGAUGAUCAGCCACACUGGAACUGAGACACGGUCCAGACUCCUACGGGAGGCAGCAGUGGGGAAUAUUGGACAAUGGGCGCAAGCCUGAUCCAGCCAUGCCGCGUGAGUGAAGAAGGCCUUCGGGUUGUAAAGCUCUUUUGUUGGGGAAGAAAUCCUGUCGGCUAAUACCCGGCGGGGCUGACGGUACCCAAAGAAUAAGCACCGGCUAACUUCGUGCCAGCAGCCGCGGUAAUACGAAGGGUGCAAGCGUUACUCGGAAUUACUGGGCGUAAAGCGUGCGUAGGUGGUUCGUUAAGUCUGAUGUGAAAGCCCUGGGCUCAACCUGGGAACUGCAUUGGAUACUGGCGAUCUGGAGUGCGGUAGAGGGGUGCGGAAUUCCCGGUGUAGCAGUGAAAUGCGUAGAUAUCGGGAGGAACAUCCGUGGCGAAGGCGGCA